UACGGGAGGCAGCAGUGGGGAAUAUUGCACAAUGGGCGCAAGCCUGAUGCAGCCAUGCCGCGUGUAUGAAGAAGGCCUUCGGGUUGUAAAGUACUUUCAGUCGUGAGGAAGGUGUUAAGGUUAAUAACCUUAGCAAUUGACGUUAGCGACAGAAGAAGCACCGGCUAACUCCGUGCCAGCAGCCGCGGUAAUACGGAGGGUGCGAGCGUUAAUCGGAAUUACUGGGCGUAAAGGGCACGCAGGCGGUUAAUUAAGUUGGAUGUGAAAUCCCCGGGCUUAACCUGGGAAUGGCAUUCAAGACUGGUUAGCUAGAGUCUUGUAGAGGGGGUAGAAUUCCAUGUGUAGCGGUGAAAUGCGUAGAGAUGUGGAGGAAUACCGGUGGCGAAGGCGGCCCCUGGACAAGGGACUGACGCUCAUGUGCGAAAGCGUGGGGAGCGAAACAGGGAUUAGAUACC
RNAcentral lists this ribosomal RNA (455 nucleotides) under uncultured bacterium. RNAcentral's name for it is "bacterial SSU rRNA". It matches the Rfam family "Bacterial small subunit ribosomal RNA", at positions 340 to 786 of the family's 1533-position model. The record is from RNAcentral.